UCCUUGGUUGAUGCACAUUUUAAAUUGUUUGGAGUAGAAACUUACCUCACCCUGUCUGAGGUGAUUUGGAGUUUCUUUUCGCUGUUGGGUGCUUGUGCUCCAUUUUUUUUAUGUUUUUGAUUCGCAAUUUGGCUAGAUCGAUGAUCUGAGUGUCGCUGACAUCCCUGGAGGGUGCGGCUCAUUCUUUCACUACCCAACUUUGAACUUUGGUGUAGAGGCCUCAACUUGUGAUGACUUGACGCAGGUUAACAUGUUUGAUGGUGUAGAUUUUAUUCGCUAAACCUUUCGUCAUUGGCCUUCUGCUCUUGAGUUAAGGACUUAUUGAAAAAAAUUCCCCUUCUUCUGUAGGGGUAAUCUUAUAUAGCCAUGAUUUUUUUCAGGAGUUCUCCCCUUUCUUUUGAUGAGAGGCUUGAUCCUACCUUAAACUCCUUCCAUUUCUUGGAAUUAGAAAAUGCCACAGUCCUUUCGUAUGUUGUUGUCGGGGAUUUAUAUGAGAAACUCUCUUUGCUGGCCAAGUCAUGAGUGAGCAAUAUCCUGCACAUCAAAAGAACAAAAUGCACCAAAAGCUUGACG
This 573-nucleotide long non-coding RNA is filed under the name Panax ginseng (ginseng). RNAcentral's name for it is "long non-coding RNA (PGIN_LNC018865)". The record is from RNAcentral. Lineage: Eukaryota; Viridiplantae; Streptophyta; Magnoliopsida; Apiales; Araliaceae.